AUUGAACGCUGGCGGCAGGCCUAACACAUGCAAGUCGAACGGUAACAGGAAGCAGCUUGCUGCUUUGCUGACGAGUGGCGGACGGGUGAGUAAUGUCUGGGAAACUGCCUGAUGGAGGGGGAUAACUACUGGAAACGGUAGCUAAUACCGCAUAACGUCGCAAGACCAAAGAGGGGGACCUUCGGGCCUCUUGCCAUCGGAUGUGCCCAGACGGGAUUAGCUAGUAGGUGGGGUAACGGCUCACCUAGGCGACGAUCCCUAGCUGGUCUGAGAGGAUGACCAGCCACACUGGAACUGAGACACGGUCCAGACUCCUACGGGAGGCAGCAGUGGGGAAUAUUGCACAAUGGGCGCAAGCCUGAUGCAGCCAUGCCGCGUGUAUGAAGAAGGCCUUCGGGUUGUAAAGUACUUUCAGCGGGGAGGAAGGGAGUAAAGUUAAUACCUUUGCUCAUUGACGUUACCCGCAGAAGAAGCACCGGCUAACUCCGUG
This 490-nucleotide ribosomal RNA is filed under the name uncultured bacterium. RNAcentral describes it as "partial 16S ribosomal RNA". It matches the Rfam family "Bacterial small subunit ribosomal RNA", at positions 30 to 507 of the family's 1533-position model. The record is from RNAcentral.